Long non-coding RNA from Caretta caretta (loggerhead turtle), 1211 nucleotides. RefSeq lists it as uncharacterized. The record is from RefSeq and is a predicted model, not a curated record. Lineage: Eukaryota; Metazoa; Chordata; Testudines; Cheloniidae.
GACAUAUAUACCGCUGGCACCGCCUCCCUCCUUCCUUUUGCUGAGCGGGCCCCGGCGGGGAGGUGGCGGCGCGGCGCGGCUGGCCAUGAUACAUCAAGCAAGUUCUUCCCUCACUGGUAACUAUAAAACUGCAGACCUGAUGCCACUUGCUAAGGAUUUAAUGGAGGAAGUUGGAAGCCCCAGAGAAGGAAGGUUCUCUGGCCUGAAAGGUGAAUCCUGAUGAUGAAAGGCUGUGUUAAACAGAUUGGCUUUGGAUGACCACUGCCUAAUCUGUGGAGAUGAUGAUUCAGCUUGAACACAGUUCCAUAUUGUUUGCAGGGAGAGUAGAGCACAGGACACUUCACACACAAGGCUUCGAAGGGGUGCUUGGGUAUCCUGACUGGGAUGACUUGGAUGUACGGAGUGCUGCUAUUAGCAGUGGUCCUGGCCCUGUCUUGAAUAAACUUGGCAUUAAUAUUAGAAGAUGACAGAUGAUCAGGACAGCAUUUCAAGUGAGAGAACUGGAGCGCACACCUGGAAAAAGGAUCACUUUGCUGAGAGUAAAGCUGGUCAAACAUUUUAUGAAGCAAUCAGCCCACUGCCUGCCUGAGAGGGAGCAAGAUUGAUUUGAAUGGACAGUUGAGGAACCAGAAAGCAUAAGGAGUCUCUGGAUACACAUUCUGAUGUCUUAAGUUUUGCCCCCAGAAGAUAGUGCCCUUGCUUCUGAGGUGCUUGGGCAUAGCCAUGGAGGGGCCGGAGUCAAUCCUGCAGCAGUGGGUGUGUCAAGCUGAAGGGAAGCAGUCUCUCUGCCACCCCAUUUAGACUAAAAGUUUGGCCUGGAGUCCUUGUGCCACAGUCCUGCCUGCACUCGGAGCCUACCAGGACCAUUUAAGGGGCUUGCAAGCAUGUUGAAGGGGUGGAUGCAGCAGUGCCAGGAUCCUUGCUGUGUUCUACCCUUGCCACAAUAGGUGACAUCUUCUGGAUGAAGAGUCCUCUACAAAUUUGUGCAGAAAAGAUUUAAGUUCAGAAUGUCUCGCAGAAGCAUGUUACAAGUAGGGCAACAUUGACACACACACACUUUGGUCUCUUCUUAAAUAUCCAAUUAAGAAACUAGACCUGCUCUGAACCUGAACUUUUUUGCCAUAUGUGGUUUUUAACCAGCACUAAGUAGACUUUAGCAGUAAAAUAACAGCUGUCUAAAAAAUGUGCUAAAAUAAACUCAUCAGAAAUGA